Molecule: ribosomal RNA, 467 nt
Filed under: uncultured bacterium
Lineage: Bacteria
Description: partial 16S ribosomal RNA
Rfam family: Bacterial small subunit ribosomal RNA
Source: RNAcentral
ACGAACGCUGGCGGCGUGCUUAACCCAUGCAAGUCGCACGGAAAGGCCCUGCUUUUGUGGGGUGCUCGAGUGGCGAACGGGUGAGUAACACAUGAGUAACCUGCCCUUGACUUUGGGAUAACUUCAGGAAACUGGGGCUAAUACCGGAUAGGAGCUCCUGCUGCAUGGUGGGGGUUGGAAAGUUUCGGCGGUUGGGGAUGGACUCGCGGCUUAUCAGCUUGUUGGUGGGGUAGUGGCUUACCAAGGCUUUGACGGGUAGCCGGCCUGAGAGGGUGACCGGCCACAUUGGGACUGAGAUACGGCCCAGACUCCUACGGGAGGCAGCAGUGGGGAAUAUUGCACAAUGGGCGGAAGCCUGAUGCAGCAACGCCGCGUGCGGGAUGACGGCCUUCGGGUUGUAAACCGCUUUCGCCUGUGACGAAGCGUGAGUGACGGUAAUGGGUAAAGAAGCACCGGCUAACUACGUG